RNAcentral lists this ribosomal RNA (747 nucleotides) under Pseudomonas frederiksbergensis. RNAcentral describes it as "bacterial SSU rRNA". It matches the Rfam family "Bacterial small subunit ribosomal RNA", at positions 47 to 787 of the family's 1533-position model. Lineage: Bacteria; Pseudomonadati; Pseudomonadota; Gammaproteobacteria; Pseudomonadales; Pseudomonadaceae. The record is from RNAcentral.
CCUAACACAUGCAAGUCGAGCGGCAGCACGGGUACUUGUACCUGGUGGCGAGCGGCGGACGGGUGAAUAAUGCCUAGGAAUCUGCCUGGUAGUGGGGGAUAACGCUCGGAAACGGACGCUAAUACCGCAUACGUCCUACGGGAGAAAGCAGGGGACCUUCGGGCCUUGCGCUAUCAGAUGAGCCUAGGUCGGAUUAGCUAGUUGGUGAGGUAAUGGCUCACCAAGGCGACGAUCCGUAACUGGUCUGAGAGGAUGAUCAGUCACACUGGAACUGAGACACGGUCCAGACUCCUACGGGAGGCAGCAGUGGGGAAUAUUGGACAAUGGGCGAAAGCCUGAUCCAGCCAUGCCGCGUGUGUGAAGAAGGUCUUCGGAUUGUAAAGCACUUUAAGUUGGGAGGAAGGGCAUUUACCUAAUACGUAAGUGUUUUGACGUUACCGACAGAAUAAGCACCGGCUAACUCUGUGCCAGCAGCCGCGGUAAUACAGAGGGUGCAAGCGUUAAUCGGAAUUACUGGGCGUAAAGCGCGCGUAGGUGGUUCGUUAAGUUGGAUGUGAAAUCCCCGGGCUCAACCUGGGAACUGCAUUCAAAACUGUCGAGCUAGAGUAUGGUAGAGGGUGGUGGAAUUUCCUGUGUAGCGGUGAAAUGCGUAGAUAUAGGAAGGAACACCAGUGGCGAAGGCGACCACCUGGACUGAUACUGACACUGAGGUGCGAAAGCGUGGGGAGCAAACAGGAUUAGAUACCC